This 621-nucleotide long non-coding RNA is filed under the name Capsicum annuum. RNAcentral describes it as "long non-coding RNA (CANN_LNC010838)". Lineage: Eukaryota; Viridiplantae; Streptophyta; Magnoliopsida; Solanales; Solanaceae. The record is from RNAcentral.
GAAGCUUCUUUGUCAUAGUUACUCUGAUGGAUGACCUCUAUUAGCAUUAUGUUAUCAACAACAAACCUAGUGUAUUCCCACAGCGUGGGGUCUGGGGAGGAUAAGAUGUACGCAGUCCAUACCGCUACCUCCGAAGAAGUAGAGAGGAUGUUUCCGAUAGACCCUCGGCUCAAGAUAAAGUAGUUAGCAUUAUGUUAUCACAACUACUUAUCUAAGUUCCUUCACUGGGUGUUUUCUAUUAUCUUUAGGAGUCCUAGUAUUUCUACUUUUCUCCUUCAAUUAAAUUUGUUUACUUUGUCCAUUAAGGGAUUCUUCCUAAAUGAUGAGUAAUUCAAGUGAGCCAUGGAUUAACAUCCAAAUGAAGCUUCUUUGUCAUAGUUACUCUGAUGGAUGACCUCUAUUAGCUCUAUUAGCAUUAUGUUAUCAACAACAAACCUAGUGUAUUCCCACAGCGUGGGGUCUGGGGAGGAUAAGAUGUACGCAGUCCAUACCGCUACCUCCGAAGAAGUAGAGAGGAUGUUUCCGAUAGACCCUCGACUCAAGAUAAAGUAGUUAGCAUUAUGUUAUCACAACUACUUAUCUAAGUUCCUUCACUGGGUGUUUUCUAUGCUUCAUUUAGUC